Molecule: ribosomal RNA, 468 nt
Filed under: uncultured bacterium
Lineage: Bacteria
Description: partial 16S ribosomal RNA
Rfam family: Bacterial small subunit ribosomal RNA
Source: RNAcentral
GACGAACGCUGGCGGCGUGCUUAACACAUGCAAGUCGAACGGAAAGGCCCUGCUUUUGUGGGGUGCUCGAGUGGCGAACGGGUGAGUAACACGUGAGUAACCUGCCCUUGACUUUGGGAUAACUUCAGGAAACUGGGGCUAAUACCGGAUAGGAGCUCCUGCUGCAUGGUGGGGGUUGGAAAGUUUCGGCGGUUGGGGAUGGACUCGCGGCUUAUCAGCUUGUUGGUGGGGUAGUGGCUUACCAAGGCUUUGACGGGUAGCCGGCCUGGGAGGGUGACCGGCCACAUUGGGACUGAGAUACGGCCCAGACUCCUACGGGAGGCAGCAGUCGGGAAUAUUGCACAAUGGGCGGAAGCCUGAUGCAGCAACGCCGCGUGCGGGAUGACGGCCUUCGGGUUGUAAACCGCUUUGGCCUGUGACGAAGCGUGAGUGACGGUAAUGGGUAAAGAAGCACCGGCUAACUACGUG